Molecule: ribosomal RNA, 272 nt
Filed under: uncultured bacterium
Lineage: Bacteria
Description: partial 16S ribosomal RNA
Rfam family: Bacterial small subunit ribosomal RNA
Source: RNAcentral
GACGAACGCUGGCGGCGUGCUUAACACAUGCAAGUCGAGCGGUAAGGCCCUUUCGGGGGUACGACGAGCGGCGAACGGGUAGGAGUAACACGUGGGUGGACCUCGCCCUCCAGUUCUUGGGAGUAAAGCCUCGGGAAACCGGGGUACUAAUACUGGAUAUGACCUCAUGACGCAUGUUGUGGGGUGGAAAGCCUUGUGCGACUGAGGAUGGGCCCGCGGCCUAUCAGCUUGUUGGUGGGGUGAGGCCUACCAAGGCGACGACGGGUAGCCGG